RNA transcript from Ornithorhynchus anatinus (platypus), 5555 nucleotides. It is a transcript of the gene named ATPase sarcoplasmic/endoplasmic reticulum Ca2+ transporting 2, with no coding region annotated. NCBI's taxonomy places the organism in Eukaryota, Metazoa, Chordata, Mammalia, Monotremata, Ornithorhynchidae. The transcript is spliced from 21 exons. The record is from RefSeq and is a predicted model, not a curated record.
AUGGAGAACGCACACACAAAGACCGUGGAGGAGGUGUUGGCUCAUUUCAGCGUCAACGAGAGCACCGGGCUCAGCCUCGAGCAGGUCAAGAAGCUCAAGGAGAGAUGGGGUUCCAACGAAUUACCAGCGGAAGAAGGAAAAACAUUACUGGAGCUUGUGAUUGAACAGUUUGAAGACUUAUUAGUUAGAAUUUUGUUGCUGGCAGCUUGUAUAUCUUUUGUUUUGGCAUGGUUUGAAGAAGGGGAAGAAACAAUUACAGCCUUUGUAGAGCCUUUUGUAAUCUUGCUUAUAUUGGUAGCCAAUGCAAUUGUGGGCGUGUGGCAGGAAAGAAAUGCUGAAAAUGCCAUCGAAGCUCUUAAAGAAUAUGAACCUGAAAUGGGAAAAGUUUAUCGACAGGACCGAAAGAGUGUACAACGGAUUAAAGCGAAAGACAUAGUCCCUGGUGAUAUUGUAGAAAUAGCUGUUGGUGAUAAAGUUCCUGCUGAUAUAAGAUUAACUUCCAUCAAAUCUACAACUUUACGAGUAGACCAGUCAAUUCUCACAGGUGAAUCUGUAUCUGUAAUUAAGCACACUGAUCCAGUGCCCGAUCCUCGUGCUGUAAACCAAGAUAAGAAGAAUAUGCUGUUUUCUGGUACAAACAUUGCUGCUGGAAAAGCAAUGGGAGUGGUGGUAGCAACUGGAGUGAACACUGAAAUUGGCAAGAUCCGGGAUGAAAUGGUGGCUACCGAACAGGAGAGAACACCCCUCCAGCAGAAACUGGAUGAGUUUGGAGAGCAGUUGUCCAAAGUUAUCUCCCUCAUUUGCAUUGCAGUUUGGAUAAUAAACAUUGGACAUUUCAAUGAUCCAGUUCAUGGUGGCUCUUGGAUUAGAGGUGCUAUCUAUUACUUUAAAAUUGCAGUUGCUCUUGCUGUUGCUGCUAUUCCAGAAGGUCUCCCUGCUGUCAUUACCACCUGCUUGGCUCUUGGAACUCGGAGAAUGGCAAAAAAGAACGCUAUUGUUAGAAGUCUCCCAUCUGUAGAAACCCUGGGUUGUACGUCUGUUAUUUGCUCCGACAAGACAGGCACCCUUACAACCAAUCAGAUGUCAGUUUGCAGGAUGUUUAUUCUGGACAGAGUGGAAGGAGAUAGCUGCUGCCUGAGUGAGUUCACCAUAACUGGAUCAACGUAUGCUCCACUUGGAGAAGUGCAUAAAGAUGACAAACAAGUGAAAUGUCAUCAGUAUGAUGGCCUUGUCGAAUUAGCAACAAUUUGUGCACUUUGUAAUGAUUCUGCUCUGGAUUACAAUGAGGCAAAAGGAGUGUAUGAAAAGGUUGGGGAAGCUACAGAAACCGCACUGACCUGCCUGGUUGAGAAGAUGAACGUAUUUGACACCGAACUGAAAGGUCUCUCCAAAAUUGAACGUGCAAAUGCAUGCAAUUCGGUCAUAAAACAACUGAUGAAGAAAGAAUUCACUCUAGAGUUUUCAAGGGACAGAAAGUCCAUGUCUGUCUAUUGCACACCAAAUAAACCUAGCCGGACUUCCAUGAGCAAGAUGUUUGUUAAGGGUGCCCCUGAAGGUGUAAUUGAGAGAUGUACACACAUUCGUGUUGGAAGUACUAAAAUGCCUAUGACUCAAGGAAUCAAGCAUAAGAUCAUGAGUGUUAUUCGAGAAUGGGGCUCUGGCCGAGAUACGCUGCGUUGUUUAGCUCUAGCAACUCACGACAAUCCACCGAGAAGAGAAGAAAUGAACCUGGAUGACUCUGCCAAUUUUAUUAAAUACGAGACCAAUCUGACUUUUGUUGGUUGCGUGGGUAUGCUGGAUCCACCAAGAACUGAAGUAGCUUCGUCCAUAAAGCUCUGUAGGCAAGCCGGUAUCCGUGUCAUUAUGAUUACUGGAGAUAACAAAGGCACUGCAGUGGCCAUCUGUCGUCGAAUUGGUAUCUUUGGGAGUGAAGAAGAUGUUUCUUCAAAGGCUUUUACAGGACGAGAGUUUGAUGAGCUUGCUCCCCCGGCACAGAGAGAUGCUUGCCUAAAUGCUCGUUGCUUUGCUCGGGUAGAGCCGUCCCACAAGUCUAAGAUUGUGGAAUUCCUUCAGUCUUUUGAUGAGAUCACAGCUAUGACUGGUGAUGGUGUAAAUGAUGCUCCUGCCCUGAAGAAAGCAGAGAUUGGCAUUGCUAUGGGGUCUGGCACUGCUGUAGCAAAGACUGCCUCUGAGAUGGUGUUGGCCGAUGACAACUUCUCCACAAUCGUAGCUGCCGUUGAAGAAGGCCGAGCAAUCUACAAUAACAUGAAACAGUUCAUUCGCUACCUCAUCUCUUCUAAUGUUGGCGAGGUUGUUUGUAUUUUCCUGACUGCUGCUCUUGGUUUUCCGGAGGCUUUGAUUCCAGUCCAACUACUCUGGGUGAAUCUUGUGACAGAUGGCCUGCCUGCUACUGCUCUGGGAUUUAACCCCCCUGAUCUGGACAUCAUGAAUAAGCCCCCCCGCAAUCCUAAAGAGCCUCUGAUCAGUGGGUGGCUCUUCUUCCGUUAUCUAGCUAUCGGAUGUUAUGUUGGAGCUGCUACAGUGGGUGCUGCUGCAUGGUGGUUCAUUGCUGCUGAUGGUGGCCCAAGAAUUACCUUCUACCAGCUGAGCCAUUUCUUGCAGUGCAAAGAUGACAACCCUGACUUUGAAGGCGUUGAUUGUGUGAUCUUUGAGUCCCCGUACCCAAUGACGAUGGCCCUGUCGGUUCUGGUUACUAUAGAGAUGUGUAAUGCUCUUAACAGCUUAUCAGAAAAUCAGUCAUUAAUGAGGAUGCCUCCAUGGGAAAACAUCUGGCUGGUGGGCUCUAUUUGUUUAUCCAUGUCACUCCAUUUCCUAAUUCUCUAUGUCGAACCAUUGCCGCUCAUCUUCCAGAUCACACCUCUGAAUGUGACCCAGUGGCUGAUGGUGCUGAAAAUAUCAUUACCUGUGAUUCUGAUGGAUGAGACACUUAAGUUUGUGGCCCGUAACUAUCUGGAACCUGGUAAAGAGUGUGUGCGACCUUCCACCAAACCGUGUUCUUUCUCGGCAUGCACCGAAGGGAUUUCCUGGCCGUUUGUGCUUAUCAUAAUGCCAUUGGUUAUCUGGCUUUACAGUACAGACACUAACUUUAGUGAUAUGUUCUGGUCUUGACUGACAUAGUUUUACAUAAAGAUGUUUAACUUAAUCAAUUAAUUUUUUUAUUGUUUAAAGCAACUGUCUAUUUCUGCUGAAUUUUCACAUGAACAUAUUUGCUGGUGAAGGAGGUUUCAUACUCUAGGUUUUGUUUUGCUUUUUCUGACUACAGUGGGGCAAGAUUUUCAUUUUUUAUACACAUAAUUAAAGUGUCCAUUGACAUGUACAGAGAACUAACACUAUUUUAUGCAAAUAUUUUUUUGUAGAUGAAAAAGCAUGUACAGUGUUCUGUUUAAUAGUCUCAUCCUUGUAAAAAAAAAAAAAAAUAGUUGAGCCAGCAGACAUUGUCACCAAACUAAUUGGCAGCAGAUUUUAGGGAAUGAAUGUGUGGUUUUUUUCUAAAACUAAAUAGCAUGUAUUGUGUCUUCUGCAUGAUCAUCUGAAUUUAAUUUGAUGUCACUGUCCAAUUUUUUUAUUCAUAAGCCAAUUUUUCUGCACUGAGCAGAGUACUGCUACCUCAGUCAGUAUUUUUUGGUUUGCCACCUCACACCCCUCCUUGCCCACCCAGUCCCAUCCCCCUCCCAACAUGACCCCUUCCUUUGACUACCACUCCCUCCGCUCUACUCCUUCCUUGCUUCAUUUUGGAUUUUGACUGUUUUGUUUACACCAGUCUCAAGAGGUAUGCCUAUUCUUGCUUGUGCAGAAAAUAUUGUUCCAGGUUCAAUCUACUGGGUUUUUCCUCCCCCUCCGUAGUUUUUAAGGUUAUUUAUUUAAAUGUCUAAUGUAUUUUAUUGUAAAAGACAUUGUUUUGCCAAUGUUGCCUACUUCAGCGGCACUUCACAACCUAGUUUAAAAACAAAUAAAACCUUUUAAAUGGACAGAGAAAAAGAACUGUCUUGUUUUAACUUUAAAAGUGGCCUAAGCCUAGUUUUGAUUCAUUAUCUAAUAUAUAUAUAUCCAGUUUUCUUUCAAGACUUAAGAUCAGAGCCUUAGCAUUGUGACCGAGGGGAGAAAAAGAUACUUGCACUUCACAGAAGUUGGAUUUCUUAUACACAGAGCACUUACUGUCAUCUGCUAUUACACUUUAUGCAAGUUACUCUGCUGGCCUGAACAAAUUCGUGUGUGUAUGCGUGGGUAUGUGUGCGCGCGUGCGUGUUUUGUAAAAUCUGUAAAUAGCACAUGACCAAAUGAACAUAUUGUAUAGAACUAUUUUUAUUUUAAUGUGGCACUAACCACCACCAUCAUUAUUAUAAAUGUUUGUGCAUGUAUUUAAGGUCAGUCCUAUUCCAACCGUGUGUACGUCAUUAACAGUCCUAACUGUGAUGUUUUUCUCCAAUGCCUUCCAACAUUCAUCAACUAAACAAUACUGGAGUAACCGCUUCCUAAACAAUUUUGCAGAAAUGUAAGGUUGUUUCGUUGCGUGCUUGUGCGUUUUUUAGCAACACUUCUACCACCCCUAUGCAUGUGUGAUGUUGGGAAACAAAUGGAAAAAGAUUUUAAAAAAAAGUCAGAUAAUUCCCCACCCUACCCCCCCCACACACCCAGACUCAUUAUGUGCUUAUGUGCAGGAAAUGUGUAAUCUAACAAUGGGGUUUCAGUUUAAAAACACAAAUGUGCGAUAUAGCUGAACAAAUCAAAAAACUCUGCAGAGAAGUUUGGUUUCUUUGCUGCAUGAAGAUUUUGUUAUGAAAAGUUAAGAAGCUGUCACUCAGCAAAGUUUCCUCUUUCUCUGUGGAAAAUGUCAAAGCUUAAAAUAUACUGAAUUCUAAUGCAUGCCUUCAGUUGUAAGUAGCAAAUUGUGUUAUCAUCUAAGUGUGCUACUCAGUAUACGGCUAUGUAUGGUAAGCUUAUUUAAAUUCAUCGAAAACUACAGAUGUUGAAAGGUAAAACGUAAGCCUCCAGUUCAUAACUCCGAUUAUUUUCAUUUGUGUGCGAACACAACUUCUUUGCACUGUAAUGAAAUAACUAAUGAAAUCAAAAGCAGUACAGAUAGUGAUGCAUUUAUCGUUUAAAAAAAAUUAAAAAGCUAAGGCAACUAUCAAACGCAUGUUUGACCUAAAUCUGUACAUACAGAUCAGUUUAUUUCUGUGCUGAUUACAAUGAGCAUCACACCGAUGUCAUGGUUUCAGGUAAAUAAAUCUAUUCUCCAAUAGAUCCUUUGCGUGUUACUUCAUGCACUUUGUUUUCCGCAGGUGUGCGUGUAUGUGCUUGAACGGUCUCUUGUUAAUGCCGGGAUGACCCUCACUGGUAACAACAUUGCCACAAGUUGCGGUCCUUGUUCCUGCAGUAUCGGUCCCGCUGCCAUGGGGGUUUUCUUGUUCAGGGGCUCCUGGCCCAAAUAUAGGGAUUAUUGUCUGGCACUGAGAGACAUUUUUCAAAAAUCUCCUCUUCUCUGUUUGUAAGAUCUUUUGAGAAACCGCAAACAAUAAACAUUUCUUUCCCUA